This 409-nucleotide ribosomal RNA is filed under the name uncultured bacterium. RNAcentral's name for it is "bacterial SSU rRNA". It matches the Rfam family "Bacterial small subunit ribosomal RNA", at positions 84 to 518 of the family's 1533-position model. The record is from RNAcentral.
AAGGGAGAGCAGCAGCGACGGGUGAGUAAAGCACAAGGACUUGUCCCGAAGAGGGGGACAACUGUGGGAAACCACAGCUAAUACCCCAUAAGCCGAGAGGUGAAAGCAGCGAUGCGCUUUAGGAGAGACUUGUGUCCUAUCAGGUAGUUCGGUGAGGUAACGGCUCGACCCAAGCCGAAGACGGGUUAGCCGGACUGAGAGGUUGUACGGCCACAUUGGAACUGAGAGACGGUCCAGACUCCUACGGGAGGCAGCAGUGGGGAAUAUUGGGCAAUGGGGGCAACCCUGAACCCCCAGCGACGCCGCGUGAGGGAAGACAGCCUUCGGGUUGUAAACCUCUGUUGCAGGGGAAGAAGAAAGUGACGGUACCCUGCGAGGAAGCUCCGGCAAACUACGUGCCAGCAGCUGC